Molecule: ribosomal RNA, 446 nt
Filed under: Pantoea sp.
Lineage: Bacteria; Pseudomonadati; Pseudomonadota; Gammaproteobacteria; Enterobacterales; Erwiniaceae
Also listed under: 1 other name
Description: bacterial SSU rRNA
Rfam family: Bacterial small subunit ribosomal RNA
Source: RNAcentral
ACUGGAACUGAGACACGGUCCAGACUCCUACGGGAGGCAGCAGUGGGGAAUAUUGCACAAUGGGCGCAAGCCUGAUGCAGCCAUGCCGCGUGUAUGAAGAAGGCCUUCGGGUUGUAAAGUACUUUCAGCGGGGAGGAAGGGAUGGCGCUUAAUACGCGCCGUCAUUGACGUUACCCGCAGAAGAAGCACCGGCUAACUCCGUGCCAGCAGCCGCGGUAAUACGGAGGGUGCAAGCGUUAAUCGGAAUUACUGGGCGUAAAGCGCACGCAGGCGGUCUGUUAAGUCAGAUGUGAAAUCCCCGGGCUUAACCUGGGAACUGCAUUUGAAACUGGCAGGCUUGAGUCUCGUAGAGGGGGGUAGAAUUCCAGGUGUAGCGGUGAAAUGCGUAGAGAUCUGGAGGAAUACCGGUGGCGAAGGCGGCCCCCUGGACGAAGACUGACGCUCAG